This 397-nucleotide ribosomal RNA is filed under the name uncultured bacterium. RNAcentral's name for it is "partial 16S ribosomal RNA". It matches the Rfam family "Bacterial small subunit ribosomal RNA", at positions 523 to 918 of the family's 1533-position model. The record is from RNAcentral.
AUACGUAGGGGGCGAGCGUUGUCCGGAAUGAUUGGGCGUAAAGGGCGCGUAGGCGGCCCGGUAAGUCUGGAGUGAAAGUCCUGUUUUUAAGAUGGGAAUUGCUUUGGAUACUGUCGGGCUUGAGUGCAGGAGAGGUAAGUGGAAUUCCCAGUGUAGCGGUGAAAUGCGUAGAGAUUGGGAGGAACACCAGUGGCGAAGGCGACUUACUGGACUGUAACUGGCGCUGAGGCGCGAAAGUGUGGGGAGCAAACAGGAUUAGAUACCCGGGUAGUCCACACUGUAAACGAUGAAUGCUAGGUGUAGGGGGUAUCGACCCCUUCUGUGCCGCAGUCAACACAAUAAGCAUUCCGCCUGGGGAGUACGGCCGCAAGGUGGAAACUCAAAUGAAUUGACGGGG